AACUCUGAGGAGUAAAUCACUCGGCUCACGGAUCGAUGAAGAAAACAGCCAGCUGCGAGACUUGGUGUGAAUUGCAGGACACAUAGAGCACUGAUUUUUCGAACGCGUAUUGCGGUCUCGGCUGAUACUCGAAACCUCGCCCGUCUGAGGGUCG
This 154-nucleotide ribosomal RNA is filed under the name Stegodyphus mimosarum. RNAcentral's name for it is "5.8S ribosomal RNA". It matches the Rfam family "5.8S ribosomal RNA". Rfam says of the family: 5.8S ribosomal RNA (5.8S rRNA) is a component of the large subunit of the eukaryotic ribosome. It is transcribed by RNA polymerase I as part of the 45S precursor that also contains 18S and 28S rRNA. Functionally, it is thought that 5.8S rRNA may be involved in ribosome translocation. Lineage: Eukaryota; Metazoa; Arthropoda; Arachnida; Araneae; Eresidae. The record is from Rfam by way of RNAcentral.